UAAAGGACAAAUACUAAAGUCUCAUUAAUAUUGGUGAAUCAGAUUACAGUAUCUUCCCACAUACAAAAGUGAAGAACACUAGUUAGGACCACUAAUUCACCACAGCAACAUUUUUUCCUCAAUUUUACAGUCACCCAACUGAACUCCAACUAUACAUACACAACACACUACACCUAAAAGAAUACAUACUACACAUCACAAGUGGUAGGGAGGGAAACUAACGACAAAAUAAUAGGACCAAGAGAAUUUAUGUUCUCCAGAAGAAGGGCAGUCACAGCAAGACAGUGUAGCCACCGCUUGCAGUUUGCUGUUUUCUCUCUGCAAGGCCGAGAAAGCUCCUCAACUACCCCAGCACAAAUUUUUCAAAUUCUCCGGCAGCUGCAGGUGACUUUUGCCAAUUCUAUGGUAGCCCGAUCUCUCUCUCCACCUAAAUUAAUACCAUCUCCUAUGACAACUUCAAUUCCACUGGCAUCCAUUUCAUGAUAACGGGGGUCAUGCAAUAACUCCUGAACAAAUCCACUAGCUACUUUUUUGUUUGAAGCAUCAGUUAAGUCAAGCAUAUUACCAAGAAGUAGCAAUUGUCGAGACGCAAAACGAUAAUUUGGUCCUGUAAAAAUUAGGUGGUAUUGUUCACGGUUGAGUGCGGUGCUCUGCCUAAAGGUGCCGAGUCCAAAAUAUCAAAAGGUGCUAACUUUUUCGAAGUCCAGACAACCCACAUUCGCAGGUCAGGAAUUCAACUCCACAUCAGAACAACCCACAUUUGCAGGUCAGGAAUUCAAAUGGUGGUGCUCUGCGUGCUGACUUUUUCAACUCAGCACCUUUCUGGUCUUCAAACUCGGCUUCAAAGUGAAAAUGAAAGAAGUUUUAGACGUUCAAAUUUUCGCCGCCGAUGGAAUCUGGACAUCGAACUCGAUUUUCGCCUUCAAGGGUUUCCGUUGUUGGAGAGAUUUGGGGAAAAUCUAUUUGAGAGGAGGGUCCAAAUUUCGGGGAAUUUUGAAAUGAGGGUUCCCGUCUAUUAUUAAAUAAUUGGGCCGGGUCUAGUUUUGACCCAACUUGUUUUAAAAAUUUGAAAUCCCCACCUCCAGUUCCUUGUUUCAAAAUUCACGAGAUUUUUAUUCAAGUUCUUGUCACCUCACCAUUAGGUACACCAUUAGGUAGUGGCUGAUGUACCACCAGCAUUAUUGAAAAAUUUUGGGGAAAAAUUUGACAAACCCAAAACCAAACCAUGGUUCCAGGGAUGGACCAGCAAUUAAAUUAUUGAAGCAACCAUCCCCUGCCAUAGACAAUCACGAGAGAACCUCUCCCCUCUCAUUGCUAACGCUGAAGUAGAACCCACCAACCCGACGAUCAAAACCCAGUCUCAGACUCCCUCCUGCCGGCGAUUCUACGAAUGGCAAGAAAAUGUUCACGAGAGGAACCUCCCACUACCUAACACUGCAUAAAGACCCAGUAGCCCACAAUUGAAAAACACGUCGCUGACUCCCUCCUGCCAUCGAUUCAACGAUUGGAAAGGAAAAAUCGCAAUCGGCAAAACUGCAAACGAUAAGAAAGGGAAAACAGCAAAGGAUUCAGCCUGCUCCUUCCUAUCGUCAUUUCUACUUGCUUCCACUCGUCCACAUUGAAGUCACCAAUUGCAAUUCAAACCUUAAUCUGAGUGAUAAGGUUAGUACAUUAACAAUUUUGAUUUAGUAAUUUUUCUUCCUGUCCAGCGACACCGGUUGACUAAUUAUGAUUUCGGCCUUUGUGAAUGAUGAAUGCAUGAAUUUAUGAAACUCAAAAUCUGUGAUUUGUGAUUUUUGAAUGGCUGAAUUCGUCUGCUUCUAUAAUCUGUUGGUUUUUUUAUUGUCUCUUGAAUUUGUGAUUUUCUCAAUAUGUGAUUUGUAAAUUUGCUUUGGAGAAUUAAUGUGUUUUGUGUUUUUGAUAUGUAAGAUUUAGUUUGGAACUUCAUCAAAAAUUCAAACAGAGGUGGUGAUUAUUAUUACAAGAUCAUGUAUUUUUACCUUCUUAAUGGUGAUUAUGUUCAGCCUUCCAAGUGAAAAUGUCUUUUGACUCGUAGAUAAAUUGGGCGUUACUUUAUGGUCUCUGCAUUAAGAAGAAGUAAAGGUAGUUUCACAAUCCUAUGUUAAUAAUGUACCUAACAUUUGCUUGUUUUUAUAGAGCCAAUGCUGUAAUGUGGAAGUUUCAUUGUUUAUCUUCUUAUCCUGCAUUUGCUUUGUAAUGUUGUUGUGAUAUUUUGUUGUCUAUCUAGCUCCUACUAUGUGGAGAUGACUGGCUGAUUUGGUCGGAUGAUUGUGAAUAUUUUACUUGCCAUAUAUUUUAAAUUAAAAAUUGACUUCUAUGACCAUGUUAUAUUUAACAUUUCAAAAAUAGUAAGCUAUAAGAUAAACAUAUAAACAAUUUCUAAUAUACUAAUCUAUCAAAAUGGAUGAUGAAUCCAAUAGUAAUGUCUUCUUGAUGAAAGAAUAAAGAAGAUGGUUAAGAGGUUAAGUUUUGUUAAUGAUAGAAGAAAUUGGUUUAUGAUUACUUUUCAAAAUCUUUUAUCUUUUUUUAAUUAACAAAAUUCAUAUUACCCAAUAUAAUAUAAGUAUAUCCAAUGUUUAAUGUAUACAAAUUAAAUCAUCAAGCCGUAACAUUAAUGGCAUUCAAAUCGAGCAUUAAAUGCUCCUAAAAACGUAUCAAUAAGGGUAAUUUGGACUUCUCACACAAAAAAGUGUAAUUUUUAGCACCAUUAAUAGAAAUGAAAACUUUUGGUAGACUUUUUUUAUUUUUUUAUUUUUUUUUAUGUAACAUUGGAUGAAUUUGGUCCUAACUUUUUCCUCUAGUCUACCCAAGUCAAUCUAUAAUCACUUUCUUCUUUACCACCUACGAUACAAACUAAAUAUUGUAUCCGUUAAACAUUUACAUCUUGAAGUAGCAAGUUGCAGGCACAAUUCACGCGGAGACUGUAGCAACUUACAGAUUUGUCUUUUGAGUCGAAUAACAGGUUAUCAAACAACCCCUUUGAUCUUAUACAUUGUGAUAUAUGGGGGACCUUACCAUGUGACCUCACAUUCUGGACACAAUUAUUUUCUAACCUUGGUAGAUGAUUGUUCUAGAUUUACAUGGAUAUAUCUGUUGAGGAAUAAAUCAGAUGCUAAGACCAUCAUUCCUAGAUUUUUCAGCAUGGUACAUACCCAAUUCAAUGCUAAUAUAAGAAUGCUCUGAUACCACAUCAGAUAUUUGAAUGAAGAAUCUUGUUUUAUUGAUUCUGAAAAUCUGGAGAAAAAUGAACAUACAAGUCUCUAUAAAUAGUGGCAAGUAUUGACGCCAAAAUGAAAAUGAGCUGGACUAACUAACUAACUAAACAGGUGCCAGCUGGUUAACUAAAAUUGAUCUAUGUACAGUACGUUUAUGUACAAUUCCUAAUAAAAACGCUGCGAUAAGCGGGUCCCAUUGACGGCUUCCCAUCCUUGGCUUGCUUAGCCGGCUCCACUUCUAUGAUAAACCUCUUAUCCGCCAUUUUCGAUCCUUCUGAUUUCCCCCUGUAACAAGAUAUACUUAAAUAUGUAAAAAUGCGUACGUAAUGUGAUGCUGAUUAGAUAGAUAGGAAUUUCUCACUAACGCGAAAUUAUCAAGUUUUAGUUUUGUGUACAGUGUAUAUUAGUUAUAAAGGGUGGCUAUGCAUAUGUGAUUGAAAACUUGCUGGCUAUAUGUCGCAACUGAAUUUAUUUUUGACAAUCGAAACUUAUUUUACUAACUCACAUAAUUUAUAUCCUGUUAGAAUCAAGCUAUCCAAUUAAAUUUUUUGAUUUGUUAAUUUAAAAGGAACAUGACUGAAAAACCUGUCGCUGACUUCCUCCUGCCAUCGAUUCAAGGAUUGGAAAGGAAAAAUCGCAAUCAGCAAAAUCGCAAAUGAUUGGAAAGGGAAAACAGCGAAGGAUUCAGCUUGCUCCCUCCUAUCGUCAUUGCUACUUGCUUCCUGUAGUCCACAGUCAAAUCGCCAAUUGCAGUUCAGACCCUAAUCUUAGUAAUAAGGUUAGUACAUUAACAAUUUUAAAUUUUUCUUCCUGACCAGCGACUCCGGUCGACUAAUUAUGAUUUCAGCCUUUGUGAACGGGGAAUGUAUGAAUUUAUGAAACUCAAAACCUGUGAUUUGUGAUUUUUGAAUGGUUGAAUUCGUCUGCUUCUAUAACCUGUUGGUUUUUUUGAGGCUUUCUUGAAUUUCUGAUUUUGUCAAUAUGUGAAUUGUAAAUUUGCUUUGGAGAAUUGAUAUGUUUUUUGUGUUUUUGAUAUGUAAGAUUUAGUUUGGGAACUUCAUCAAAAAUUCAAAAUAGAGGUGGUGAUUAUUAUUACAAGAUCAUGUAUUUUUACCUUCUUAAUGGUGAUUAUGUUCAGCCUUCCAAGUGAAAAUGUCUUUUGACUCGUAGAUAAAUUGGGCGUUACUUUAUGGUCUCUGCAUUAAGAAGUAAAGGUAGUUUCACAAUCCUAUGUUAAUAAUGUACCUAACAUUUGCUUGUUUUUAUAGAGCCAAUGCUGUAAUGUGGAAGAAGUUCAUUGUUAUCUUUUUAUCCAGCAUUUGCUUUGUAAUAUUGUGAUAUUUUUGUUGUCUAUCUGGCUCUUAUUAUGUGGAGAUGACUGGCUGAUUUGGUCGGAUGAUUGUGAAUAUUUUAC
This 4650-nucleotide long non-coding RNA is filed under the name Olea europaea subsp. europaea. The record is from RNAcentral. Lineage: Eukaryota; Viridiplantae; Streptophyta; Magnoliopsida; Lamiales; Oleaceae.